Molecule: ribosomal RNA, 250 nt
Filed under: uncultured prokaryote
Description: partial 16S ribosomal RNA
Rfam family: Bacterial small subunit ribosomal RNA
Source: RNAcentral
UACGUAGGGUCCAAGCAUUAUCCGGAUUGACUGGGUGUAAAGAGUUGCGUAGGUGGUGUCUUAAGUAGAUAGUGAAAUCUGGUGGCUCAACCAUUCAGACUAUUAUCUAAACUGAGACGCUCGAGAACGUUAGGGGUAGCUGGAAUUUCUAGUGUAGGAGUGAAAUCCGUAGAUAUUAGAAAGAACACCGAUAGCGUAGGCAGGCUACUGGGACGUUUCUGACACUAAGGCACGAAAGCGUGGGGAGCAA